GGAAGUGGUUCUUAGAGGCAGUGUGUCUCCCUCUGGUGGCAGAAAAACUGGACCACAGGCUCGAGAGCAAACCACAGUCCCCUCUCGCUGCGUCCAGCUCUGUUAUAUAAAGCAAAAGAAACGAUUUAGGAAAAUAAAGACAAAGCGUCUCCUUUAUAGACAUAUGAGCACCAAUGAGCUGCGGCCUCACACCGCUGAAGGUAAAUUUGUCCUACAAAGUUCAAGACUUCCUUUAGGUGACCUCAAAUAAAUGGAAAAGCUGUGUCUCACUUACAGAGAAGGCUUUUCCAUGUUGUUUGUAAAGUAAAUAACAGUCAGUGACCUAAACACGCUCACCUUCACCACGGAUGCACAGUCCUCUGGAUUUUUUACUUGCUAGCAACAAAAUACUGAAAACAUAGUGAGCUCAUCUCCAUGACAAUGUAUCAAACCUAAACCAACACAUAAACACUUUAACACAGUACAUUUGAUAAAGCUCUAGAUUUAAUGCACAUUCAUGGGAUUUUCUUUUAUUAAACCUCUUAUGCAGUCAUAUAUAAUAAAGCACUAACCUGAGGCUGAUGCCAUAAAGACUCCUGCCUGCUAGAUACAACAUGCCCGACUCCUUCAGCUCAGCCACUGCUUCAGGGGAGAACUUCACAACACAAUUUGCAUAUAGCAUAAGAUCAGCCUUUUACUUUGUGCAUGAUGCAAACUUUAGUUUUCACUCUUUAUUCAAGUAACAGGCCAGAUGGCAAGAAAAUCCACAGAGAGACACGGCAGCGGCACACCUCGCUUCCAUGUUGUGACAACAGCAGCUUGUUUUAAUGCUGAAACCUGCCCCUUGUAGGUGUGCACCAGGUAGGAGUCCUCUUUAAGACCUUCAGGUCUUUCAGGGAGCAGAUGAGACACAGAUGAUCAUGAGGCGGUUUUUCCGAGCACACCGGGACGAGGACUUCAGUCAGAUCCAGUAUCUGACGGCCAAGUGCACCCGCUUAGCUCAUGACAAAGCGGUGUUGGACAGAGAGUUUCUGGUGUCCCGAGAGAGGGAGAGAAGGCUGCAGAAUGAUCUGGAAGCUGUGACCGCCCGACUCCUCGAGCAAGACCAGCUCAAUAUGGAACUCAGGAUGAACCAGACCCAACUCAUCAGCAGGAUCCAGCAGCAGCAGGACCUGGUGAACCUGCUUCGGCAGCGCGUGGUCCUGCUAGUGGAGGCGAGCUCCCGGGAUGCAGAGCUACUGCGGCAGGUCGGCGCAGAGCUGCUUUGCCUGCAGAGCUCUGAGGUGAAGCUGGAGGGCCUGGUGGAGGAGCUGCAGGCUGAGGCCCAACAUAGAACUGAGGUGGCAGAAAAUCUCCAGACAGAGCUGUAUGCUGAGGCCCGGCACAGAGCUGCACUCACUGAGAGCCUCCACGCAGAGCUGCGCAGUAAGACAGUGGAGCUGGAAAAGCUAGAAGAAACUAACAGGACGCUGACAGAAGAGCUGACGGAUCUGCGCAGAACUUAUCAGAAGGAGGUGAGAGAACUGCAGCAGGAAAAUGAGGGAAGCCUGAGGAAACUUCAGGAGACGGCAGAGCAGUUCGAGUGGCUCUGUCAGCAACAGCGUUACUGGAUGUCUUGUGUGAAGAGGUUCAAAGACUGCCUCAUGGAGGAGAGAGAAGCUCUGCUGCGACAGGUCAGCAGGUUGGAAAAGAAAGCUGAGAAACUAAAGCGUUCACACGACGGCAGUCCAACACGGAGGCUUGUCUGCCCCCUUCAGGACGCCGAGAGCUGUGACAGCAGUAUAACAUCAUGGGAGGCAGAUGCAGUGACCAACCUGGAGUCUCAGGUGGAGAAGUCAAACGUGCUGUAUGAAGAGCUCCUCGACCAGGCAGGGAGCCCUAUCAACGGAUACCAAAAACCUCCAUGAGGACAGAAGCCUGGAUGUCUUUGCUUUCUUUUCUCACCUUCUGCAAGCCAGGAGAUGCAAUGUUUUAUGUGUUUGUGGUUAGCUUACCUUCCAGUCAUUGUUUUGAAAAACCAAACACCCUUGGAAAAACACACCCGUGAAGCCACACACGCAUUGUUUUGUUUCCACUAUUGUUCAUUGUGAUAUAUGACCGAAUUAAAAUACAAUGUGCUCCUGUCCCGCUUUUGGUGUCACACAUGCACAUCACAUGUGCCUCGAGUCUGUCUGGUCACAUUUUUCAGUAAUUGUCCAUUGUUCAAACCUUGUAAUCAACACCACUAACAAGAGCACAAGCACCUGCAAAUGUUCUCUUUUGUUGUUUUGCCAAUGAAACGUUGCAGGACAACCAGCAGCUGGCGUGCAGAGGAAGCAACAAAUGUUCUUUUCAACAAAAUGAAGCUAUACUGAUUAUCCCCCCACUGGUACAGCUUGACUCUGAUGAUCAGAUCUCUUCAUUCAUCAGUUUGCAUGUGGCUCACAUUAAACACAGUGACUCAGACGCUUUAUCAUAUGUGAACCAUAUGAUACACACAUAUUGCAAACGCAGUUUACACACGGUGAGCCAAGACUUUUAAAGUAUGCAUUGUGUCACACUACAAACAUUACACUGCAAUCAACAUGAGGAGCUACACGUUUAUUCAGGACUACAGCAAACUUUCAACAUGCAUAAGAAAUCUUAACAUCACUAAACCAUUAAUGACACUGGAACCAUCAUUAUAUUUCAUCGGUGGUGCUGGGACAACAUUUUUUUCUUUGCCCACCUUAAAGUUAGCAUGACAGGGGUUCGUUUGACCAACAGUGGACAAGAAGGCCUGUGUGACUUAAGCUUUGACUCCAUGAUCAAUAGGCUUUACACAAACUACACCACAGUCUCAUAGCUUUAAUGGCACGACCACCAAGCUCCUGCACUCAGUCCGAUGAUGCUGAAUAGCAAACAUUUGUUUGCAAAUAUCAAACAUAUCUAAAACUUUGGGUAUGUUGCUACAUUUUAUGUCUAAAUCUCACAACCAAAAACCUGCUGACUUCAUGAUGAGUGAACCAUUACAGUUCUUACUGGUUUCAGGGCUUGAUCCAGUAUUUGAGGUAAUCAGUUUUUAGCCUGGAAAUAUUGCUAAUUCUCUAUGUGAAAUAAAAAUAAUGCAUAUAUAUAUAUGUUCAUAACUUACAUGAUUAAGUUAUGUUGGCCCAUAGCCUAUCAGAUCAUAAAUUUACAUGGUGUAUUGCAGAGGAGAGAUAGUUGGGCAUUAACCUAUGAACUUUGUUAUAAAAAUGAAAUUCCACAUUUCAGAACUGGAGGACAUAUUGCGACUAAAUCACACCAGGACCACAUUCAUCUUAGAGCUCUGCCUUUGCUUCAUUGUAAAACCCCCAUAUCGAAAGGUUUCUUGACUCUUUUGCUUAGUUGUUAUGGUAACAAAGUGACAGAAAAGGCAGUGACUGAAUUGGUAGUUUAUGCUACCGUAGCAUUCUUCCUUUUGCCAAAUGAAUGUUUGCUCUUUAAAAAUGAAUUAAUAACAGGUUACAAGCCUGUCUGACAGCAAAUAAAGCUCUUAACAUCCACCUCAGUUCUAUGAAGCAGAACUUUGUUUUGUCCAGGUAACUUUAGGGUAACCCUGG
RNAcentral lists this long non-coding RNA (3542 nucleotides) under Oreochromis niloticus (Nile tilapia). RNAcentral's name for it is "lncRNA (ENSONIG00000041625.1)". Lineage: Eukaryota; Metazoa; Chordata; Actinopteri; Cichliformes; Cichlidae. The record is from RNAcentral.